UACGUAGGGGCCAAGCGUUGUCCGGAAUUAUUGGGCGUAAAGAGCUCGUAGGCGGCCCAUCAAGUCGGAUGUGAAAUCUCAAGGCUCAACCUUGAAAUUGCAUCCGAUACUGGCGGGCUUGAGGCAGGUAGGGGAAAGCGGAAUUCCUGGUGUAGCGGUGAAAUGCGCAGAUAUCAGGAGGAACACCGGUGGCGAAGGCGGCUUUCUGGGCCUGUACUGACGCUGAGGAGCGAAAGCGUGGGGAGCAAACAGGAUUAGAAACCCUCGUAGUCC
Molecule: ribosomal RNA, 273 nt
Filed under: uncultured bacterium
Lineage: Bacteria
Description: partial 16S ribosomal RNA
Rfam family: Bacterial small subunit ribosomal RNA
Source: RNAcentral